Molecule: ribosomal RNA, 497 nt
Filed under: uncultured bacterium
Lineage: Bacteria
Description: partial 16S ribosomal RNA
Rfam family: Bacterial small subunit ribosomal RNA
Source: RNAcentral
GAUGUACGCUGGCGGCGUGCCUAAUACAUGCAGGUUGAGCGAACGGACGAGAAGCUUGCUUCUCUGAUGUUAGCGGCGGACGGGUGAGUAACACGUGGAUAACCUACCUAUAAGACUGGGAUAACUUCGGGAAACCGGAGCUAAUACCGGAUAAUAUUUUGAACCGCAUGGUUCAAAAGUGAAAGACGGUCUUGCUGUCACUUAUAGAUGGAUCCGCGCUGCAUUAGCUAGUUGGUAAGGUAACGGCUUACCAAGGCAACGAUGCAUAGCCGACCUGAGAGGGUGAUCGGCCACACUGGAACUGAGACACGGUCCAGACUCCUACGGGAGGCAGCAGUAGGGAAUCUUCCGCAAUGGGCGAAAGCCUGACGGAGCAACGCCGCGUGAGUGAUGAAGGUCUUCGGAUCGUAAAACUCUGUUAUUAGGGAAGAACAUAUGUGUAAGUAACUGUGCACAUCUUGACGGUACCUAAUCAGAAAGCCACGGCUAACUACGUG